GUGGGACCGAGCCUUUUUUUGCCGGCAGAGAGAGGAAAACGCGCGCGCACACACACGGUGAUAUCUUGCGGGUGAUGAAUAUGAUAAUUGGACAAGGGACGGACAGAAGAGCUCCUUGGCACUGGAACCCUCCUGGUCUGGUGAGGGAGGAAUGAGGAUACACAGGCGCCAUCCAAAACUUCCUAUGUUCAGAUUGAGGAAAGAGGUGGGCCAGGCCUUUGGAUUCUCAUUACCUAAGGACGGUUCUGACUGUGAGAGCAAAUCACAGAAGGACAACCUUGAUGUCACCUGUAUAUAGAAGAUGUAGAGCCAUUAUCUGGAAAGAAUCUGGAUUCCUGAUUCACUGCUUGGAGGAGAGCAGCCUGGGACAGCUGCCCAACCAGGAAUAGUCACAUUACACUUUUUGUGUAACAUAUA
This is a long non-coding RNA of Equus quagga, 417 nucleotides long. RefSeq lists it as uncharacterized. The record is from RefSeq and is a predicted model, not a curated record. NCBI's taxonomy places the organism in Eukaryota, Metazoa, Chordata, Mammalia, Perissodactyla, Equidae. The transcript is spliced from 3 exons.